CUUUGGUUUUAUUGUUCUGUGGAAAAGAACAUUUUCUCUGAUACUUUAAGUUUGAAGAAUCAGUGCAUAUUUUAAUGCCACAUAUGCAAAAAUAUCUUCCAAAUUUACUUAGAACUUUAGGUAGGAGUAUGACUUUUUGGGGGAGAAGGAUAGAAGAGAAUUCAUUUAAAACAACUAGAAAAUGCAGUCAAUAAUCAAGAAUAUAUGUUCUUCAAAAAAAAAUUCACUAGAACCUGGGAAUUUUCAUUGUUAUUCAAUCAACCUCCUAAUAUGGGCAUAAACUCCAGUGGCUUGGACUCUGAAGCAUGAUUCCUCAAAAUAAAGCAAACAGUUCCUCAUGACUUUAUAGAGUGAUUAAGCCAUUGGAAAUGCGUUGCACAAAAAGCGCCAUGCAGCACAACAUAGAAAAGAGCUCCAGUUAAUGUAACAUGUGGAGAAAGACAGUGUGGGUAUGCACUUAACUGUUUGGAGAAGCUCCUUAACUUUAAAAUCACGUAUUGAAACUAGGAUAUGUAAAAACUUCGAAUGAACUUCAAAUGAAGAAUAAUGACAUAAAUUAAUUAGGGCUGGAUAAAGAAUAAAAUACCACUUAUUUAAAAUGCAUGUACUAAGAAUUCAGAGGAGCAGAUAGGUUACACAUCUGAGGUGUGUUUCUUCAGGUUUCAAGAAAGCACUCUAUUUAGAAAUCAGUAGCAUGUUUUGGUUACAUUUGCAGAAUGGCAAUCCACUGUUUUCUUUUUUAAUUUGAUUGUGAUUCUAAUGUUUGCUAUGUCAAAGAGACUCUCAAGUGUUUUAAAAAUCCUUUUAUACAAACGUUUCUUUAUUUGGCUCUUAAUGUAGACCCAAUCAAACGAAAGAGCACUGAAUUUUGGGAAAGAAAAAAUUAAAAUAGAAUGUCAGUCUAAAUUAUUUUAAAUCUGUUGUGCUUAUCAAAUAUUUUUUAUUGAUUUAUAUGAUUUUUAGGCAUCAAUAUGGCAUUUCACAUGUAUACUACUGUUGAAAUUUUAUAUUAUAUUGCAACAUACUUGCAUAUUAUUUUAAUAAUAUGAGGAAAGAAUAAGACAGGUGAUUUACUAUGAGUUAGUUUUCUUAUUUUGUGUAAAGAGGAACUUUACGAAGGCCAAUUUUUUUCCACAGAAACUUCUUCCUUUAAGUAGAUACAGCUUGUCUGAAG
This 1174-nucleotide long non-coding RNA is filed under the name Homo sapiens (human). RNAcentral describes it as "HSALNT0315395". The record is from RNAcentral. Lineage: Eukaryota; Metazoa; Chordata; Mammalia; Primates; Hominidae.